CGGGAGGCAGCAGUGGGGAAUCUUGGACAAUGGGGGCAACCCUGAUCCAGCCAUGCCGCGUGAGUGAUGAAGGCCUUAGGGUCGUAAAGCUCUUUCGCCUGUGAAGAUAAUGACGGUAGCAGGUAAAGAAACCCCGGCUAACUCCGUGCCAGCAGCCGCGGUAAUACGGAGGGGGUUAGCGUUGUUCGGAAUUACUGGGCGUAAAGCGCACGUAGGCGGAUCGGAAAGUUGGGGGUGAAAUCCCGGGGCUCAACCCCGGAACUGCCUCCAAAACUAUCGGUCUAGAGUUCGAGAGAGGUGAGUGGAAUUCCGAGUGUAGAGGUGAAAUUCGUAGAUAUUCGGAGGAACACCAGUGGCGAAGGCGGCUCACUGGCUCGAUACUGACGCUGAGGUGCGAAAGUGUGGGGAGCAAACAGGAUUAGAUACCCUGGUAG
This 434-nucleotide ribosomal RNA is filed under the name uncultured bacterium. Its description in RNAcentral is "bacterial SSU rRNA". It matches the Rfam family "Bacterial small subunit ribosomal RNA", at positions 342 to 793 of the family's 1533-position model. The record is from RNAcentral.